AUGGCUUACGAGCCGGCGGUGAUUUGCGCUCGGUGCGGCAGGAAGGCGCCGCGGUGGAUAUCCUGGAGUCUGGCGAACCCUGGUAGGAGAUAUUAUUCAUGCGUAGAUUCUCAGGUGUCAUGAACUGAACAACAUGGCUUCAUCGACUGGCAUGACACCCCCACGACUCCAUUUCUUUGUCAAUUGCUAGGAGACCUACGGGAUAAAGUGUGGAGGCUGGAGGAUGAGCUUGUUGGCCAGUCAAGGGAAGGAGAGGUUGCUGUUUUGAGAGAGGAAUUGGAGAAGAAAAAUGCUUUGGUAGCGAAAACUAGAGCUAGAUGUGCUAGCAGAGAUGACAUGCAGAUGUACAAGUGUCUGUUUUAUGGCUUAUUUCUCUUUGUUGCUGGCUUACUUGCAGGUUUCCUCCUGUCUCAGUAG
Molecule: ribosomal RNA, 417 nt
Filed under: Triticum aestivum (bread wheat)
Lineage: Eukaryota; Viridiplantae; Streptophyta; Magnoliopsida; Poales; Poaceae
Description: partial small subunit ribosomal RNA
Source: RNAcentral